GGAGAUAUAGCUCAGUGGUAGAGCGUCUCGUUUGCAUUAGUAAAUCCAAAUCUCGAGGAGGUACCGGGUUCAAUCCAACUCUCGUUCCA
This is a non-coding RNA of Pseudozyma hubeiensis SY62, 89 nucleotides long. The record is from the annotation of a RefSeq genome assembly. Lineage: Eukaryota; Fungi; Basidiomycota; Ustilaginomycetes; Ustilaginales; Ustilaginaceae.